GACGAACGCUGGCGGCGUGCUUAACACAUGCAAGUCGAACGGUGAAGGGACUGGUUUUGCUGGUCCUGGAUGAGUGGCGAACGGGUGAGUAACACGUGAGUAACCUGCCCCCUUCUUCUGGAUAACCGCAUGAAAGUGUGGCUAAUACGGGAUAUUCUGGGUCUGUCGCAUGGUGGGCCUGGGAAAGAUUGCGCCUUUUUUGGUGUUUUUGGUGGGGGAUGGGCUCGCGGCCUAUCAGCUUGUUGGUGGGGUGAUGGCCUACCAAGGCGGUGACGGGUAGCCGGCCUGGGAGGGUGGACGGUCACACUGGGACUGAGACACGGCCCAGACUCCUACGGGAGGCAGCAGUGGGGAAUAUUGCACAAUGGGCGCAAGCCUGAUGCAGCGACGCCGCGUGAGGGAUGGAGGCCUUCGGGUUGUGAACCUCUUUCGCCAGUGAAGCAGGCCUGCCUCUUUUUGUGGGUGGGUUGACGGUGGCUGGAUAAGAAGCGCCGGCUAACUACGUG
Molecule: ribosomal RNA, 506 nt
Filed under: uncultured bacterium
Lineage: Bacteria
Description: partial 16S ribosomal RNA
Rfam family: Bacterial small subunit ribosomal RNA
Source: RNAcentral